Long non-coding RNA from Bos indicus x Bos taurus (hybrid cattle), 899 nucleotides. Lineage: Eukaryota; Metazoa; Chordata; Mammalia; Artiodactyla; Bovidae. The record is from Ensembl.
CGGGGAGGGGUAGCUACCGCGGGCCGAGCGCUCUCGCCUUGUGCCCCCGGCCCCCAGCGCAUCCCUUGUUACCUGAGCAACUGCACCCGGCUGCCGGCGGGAUUUGCCCGCGCCGCGUGGAGUAGGAGUAGAGGCGGGGCGGCGGUGAGGCCAAGUGAACGCAGAAUCCAGCUGAGGGGCUCUACUGUGCGCCCCGGAAAAAGAUUUCCCCGAGGGCAUCUCAACUUGACCAGAUGGUCUCGACACGUGCGAGCACCUUCUAUGCUGUCUCUAAUCCAGGCAGGCCCGAGUAGUCAGUAUCUCUCCUUUCGCCGGGCCGGGAAGCAGAGCCUCCGAAGGUUCCUGGGCGCUGCUGCUGUAUCUCCAGGGGCCAGUUCAGCCAGUCAGCCAGCAGGUAUUCGCGCUCCUAACAGAAGACUGCCCGAGGAACCUCCAGCAGCGCGUCCACCGGCCCUGGAAUACUUUCUGCGUAUUUUCUCCCCAAACCAAAUACAAUUUUUGCCAUUUGGUCUACACAAAAAUAUAUCUGAAGUUCCUAGAAGAACUGUACAAAAAAGAGCUUCACAACUAAGAUAAUCAUGAUGGUGUGAUCACUCACCUAGAGCCAGAUAUCCUGGAAUGUGAAGUCAAGUGGGCCUUAGAAAGCAUCACUAUGAACAAAGCUAGUGGAGGUGAUGGUAUUCCAGUUGAGCUAUUUCAAAUCCUGAAAGAUGAUGCUGUGAAAGUGCUGCACUAAAUAUGCAGGCAAAUUUGGAAAACUCAGCAGUGGCCACAAGACUGGAAAAGGUCAGUUUUCCAAACCAUUCCAAUCCCAAAGAAAGGCAAUGCCAAAGAAUGCUCAAACUACUGCACAACUGCACUCAUCUCACACGCUAGUAAAGUAAUGCUCAAAAUUCUCC